AAAAAAUUUAAGAAUGAAAAAUUUUGAAAAUGAGUUCUUAUGGCACUUGGGUGUCUUUUAUAUUGAAGCCUUUCUCAAACCACUUUCCUCUGCACUACACACACAGAGAAAGAGAGAGAGAGAGAGUGAGAGAGAGAGAGAGAGAGAGAGAGAUUGAAGAAGAAAAGGCUAUGUGUUCGUGUUUGUGUUUGUGUUUGGCAUACUACUAGCACUACUACUGCAACUAAAGGAGGCAUCCAAAGGGAUCGCAUUGAUCCCAAGUCUCUCAGAAAAUAAUAAUGUGUAGUUUUGGAUCAUGCUAUCCCUUUGGAUUCCUCCUUUGGUAGCUUCUCGUUUUCAGGCUCUCUUUGAUAUUUUCUUAAUUUUCCAUGCAAUAUAUCAACAACUUCACCAGCUGAAGCUUCUUGGAAAUCCAAAUUAAAAGCUGAAGAAUCACACACCCAUCAAAACCCAUGACUGGAAUAGUACUGACUUUAAUUGCCGAGGGAGAGACUGAAAUCGGGUGACAGAUAGCGCUAGAAAACACUAGAUAGCUUGGCCACAAACUGUGGUGGCCCUGAGUCAAUGACUCACAAAACCACAUGCUUUGAAAGACUUUAAUUAGAAUCCAAGGCAAAUGAAAGAUGAUACGGAAGGACUUUAUUUAUUUAUUUAUUUUGCUCUCCCCCACUUUGAGGCUCACAUUUGAGUGUCUCAAAGGAAAAGGAAUCAUACAACAUGUGAUGAGACCCUUAAAAAAAGAUAUAAAGUUGGUUUUAAACAUUUUUGCUCUAA
This is a long non-coding RNA of Ziziphus jujuba (common jujube), 774 nucleotides long. RefSeq lists it as uncharacterized. The record is from RefSeq and is a predicted model, not a curated record. NCBI's taxonomy places the organism in Eukaryota, Viridiplantae, Streptophyta, Magnoliopsida, Rosales, Rhamnaceae. The transcript is spliced from 2 exons.